GUCCGCGUGGCGCAAUGGUAGCGCGUUGGACUUCUAUUCUUGCGAGUCUCUGUCCUCGGAUAGGAGUCAUCCAAAGGCUGUGGGUUCGAGCCCCACCGUGGAUG
This is a non-coding RNA of Microdochium trichocladiopsis, 104 nucleotides long. NCBI's taxonomy places the organism in Eukaryota, Fungi, Ascomycota, Sordariomycetes, Xylariales, Microdochiaceae. The record is from the annotation of a RefSeq genome assembly.